RNAcentral lists this long non-coding RNA (23809 nucleotides) under Triticum aestivum (bread wheat). RNAcentral describes it as "long non-coding RNA (TAES_LNC007818)". The record is from RNAcentral. Lineage: Eukaryota; Viridiplantae; Streptophyta; Magnoliopsida; Poales; Poaceae.
CCUUCUUCUUGUUGUCUGCGAGGAACCGAACCUACAUACAAGCAGUGAAAAGAUCUCUGCGCAAGAACCUACAAGAGAAGCCAAGCAAUAUUUGUUCAGGACUCUGUAUCGGUGAGGGGAAUAUUACAGAGUACAGAGCACUCUGUUUAUCAGAGCAAAAUGUAAAGCAGAUAGCAGGCUGGAUAGCAGUAGCAUAGCAGUAAAAGUUCCAAGUUAUUCUUGUUCCAAGAUUAUAGUCUACAGUUUCAAUUUCCCUUUUCAAUCAUUUCCACUGACUAUAGAUGAGACCAGCUCCAAAUACUGAAUGAACACUGCAGCAUUGCACACUAGUGUGCAUCUCAUGCAAUUUCCCAUUGUCAAGCACCGGGAGCUAAACCCUGGCCUGAAUUGCUGAUAAAAUCACUUAGGCGACCCGCCGUAGCCGAAACUAGCGAUUCGCACGGAAGGGAAUACGCAGCCGAGCUGUAUGUGAUAGGAGCCUACGGACUGUGACGACCACAGAAGGAAGGAGGCAGGGGAGGAUGGAUUACCGGCGCAGCGAGGGAGUCGGGGCCUCGAGGGUAGCCGGACUCGGGAGCUGGUUUGGUUGCUCCCGGAUCGGAGGGCGGACGGCGGAGAGUCGGAGCCUGGAUGGGGAGGGGAAGGGGCGGAGUUAGGAUCUUGACGAAAGCUUCUCUGCUCGUCUCCGUCGGUUGGGGAGAGACGAGACGGACCACACGGGCGUCCCUAUGUCUCGCGAGGCCACAGGCUCUUUUUCUGUUUUUUCUCUGUUCUACUAGUUUUUUGCUUUAUUUUUGUACUUUUAUUUACACUUUAAAAUAUUAUAAAUAUAUACUAUAUUGCAAGAAACAAAAAAGGCAGCCCAGUGUAUGUAGCUCCUGCUUGCACAGGGUCCGAGAAAGGGUCCGACCACUUGACUUGAACCCGUGACCUCAUGAUCACAAGGCAGUAGCUUUACCACUACGGCAAAGCUCCCUUUCAUAUUGCAAAAACACUCUAUAAAAAAAUAUUUGAAAAAUGUUGAACAAGUAUUUAAAAAAUGUUGAAUGAGUAUUUGAAAAAUGUUGAAUAUGUAUUUGAAAUUUUUGAAAAAGUAUUUGGAAAAUGUCGUACAAGCAUUCAGACAAUGUUGAACGUGUAUAGAAAAAUGGACGCGUCUAGUGGGCGGCCGGUUGCCCACUAGUGCGAUCGAGCGGCCGGCGAAAAAAGGUAAACCCCUGUCCCCCGCGGUACAGAAAAGGAAGGGGACAUGCGGCCACCAAACCAAGCAGAUCGAGCGCCCAAACCCCAACAGAAUCGCUCCCCCCCCUCACGUGGCCAGCUGUCCCCAGCUAGCACCGCCCUUUUUCCUCCUUCUGUAUAGCCGCCAUGGCAAUCCAAGAGUAGAAGAAACUACUUCAAGAGCCAUAUCAACGGUAGAAGAGGGUCCAAGGCCCUUCUCCACGCCAGAAGGGAUCCAAGGGCCUUCUUCCUCCUCCUGAUCAGGCAAGUAAAUCCCCUUUGCCCCUCUUCCUCCUCCUGUAGUGCAUCUGUAAACCCCCUUAUCCAUGGAUCUAUCAGCAAAUCCAUGGAGGAGCUGGACAUGCAGAAGGACUGGAUCUGCCACAUCCCCCUAUUGUCAAACAUCACACCCCCACCCCCACGCCCCCACAAGUGCAUCUGCACACUAAACAUGGUUUGAGAUCAAGUUUAGUAGAAACUGAACAUGUUUUCUAAACUGUAGGUGUUCAGCUAGCCAACUAAGACAGAUUUUCUGGCCAACUAAAACAUGUUUCUAGCUAACUCAAUAAGCAAAAGUAGCCAAAAACUAAAAUGCAUUCUACCAAGUUGUAGUUAUGUUUACACACAUUGACUAUCCAAAGAGUAUGUGUAACUAAAAAUGCAUAUAUGUGCAACUGAACAUAGAUCUCAGCCAACUGAAUCAUGUGUUCUAGCAACUCAACAUGCAUGCUAGGCAGACUGAACAUGUAUCAUGAACAUAUAACCUGCUUUCUGAGUGAACACUUUAGAUAGGCUUUAGAAAAGCUGAAGUAUGUGCAAUAAAAAACAUGUUUUCUGGCCAACUAAACAUGCAUGUUGGCUAAACUGAAAAAUUAUAUCCUGGACAACUGAGACAUCUAUUCUAGGCAACUGAACACAUUGGCUGACCAACUGAACAUGCAUGUUGGCCAAACUGAAAAAAUGCAUCCUGACCAACUGAGAUAUCUAUUCUAGCCAACUGAACACAUUGACUGUCCAACUGAACAUGCAUGCUGGCCAACUUUAAAAAUGCAUCUUGGCCAACUGAGACAUCUAUUCUAGCCAAAACCAAAAAUCUGUAGUACGACAGCAAAAACACAAGAACUUUUAUCCAUAACUAAUGAAGCCACAAACCAUAUUAAAAUAGUCACGCAUAUAAUCUUGUCCCACACAUAUAUUCUGGUCCCACACCUAUUGCAAAACUAUAGUGUAAAAAUAUAUUCAAUAUACUAGAAGUAAAAACAGAAACGACUAUAAUCUGUCAUCCAAUUCUUCUUUCUUCUUUCACCUGAAUUUUCCAUCUCAAAUGUAGCAUCAAAUUAUGUCCAAAUUAUCUGCAGAAAAAUCUGAAUCAGCUCUUUGCCAAAUAGAAACCUGCGGAUCAUUGCAACAAACAGAGGGAAAAAGUCAGAAAACUCUGUAGUAAAAAGAAGACAUGUUCUUGCCAACUAUUUACUGCAAACUGUGCAACUAACAUAACUACUCUGUGCAAACAAAAAAAUGCAUAACUGUUAUAAUAAAGAUUUUGCUAUAGUCAUGUAACUUUUGCAACUAAGAUUGUCAUAAUGGUGUGCAAUUGCCUAUUUACUAAGUUUUUAGGUUGUCUGAAACACUCUUUCGUGGUUAACAACUGAUGACAUCACUUUAUUUUUUUAUGUGCAGGGACUGUGUGGCAGUAUCCAAAAAAAGGAAAAAAAUGCUUGAUAUCAAUGAGCUUCCUCAUGAUAUGGAUCAGCAGCAACCUAGCAUACCACAAGGAAAUUGGACAGAAAAUGGGUGAUCUGUUUACUACACGCAGACAAGUCGUGGUGUGAACCCUAUGGGCCAUGACAAUGUGGCAGGACAAUCAUCAACCCAUGAUGCCCCUGUAGUGGUGUCUUUGCGGUCAGAGAGUCAUACUUUUGAUGACACAGGAACCGCGGCAAAUGUUCCUGGUCCAACCAGGACUGAGCUAGGAGUUGGGGCUGUUGAUGGUGUUGGGCAAGGAGAAGAAGGAGAGGAUGAGGCUGGUUCUCAACCUAUGAAACCCUAUGUUGGCAUGAGGUUUGACAGCUCAAAUUGCUAAGGAACACUACAACAGCUACGCCCUACGGAUGGGUUUCUCUGUCAAGAUGAACUCCUCUAGGUGGACACCUCACACCAAUGUAUUGGUAAAACAGCAGUUUUGCUGCAACAAGUUCAAGAAGCCCAAAGUUGAUGAUGGAGGACUUGAGGCUCCUCUUGUCCUAGACCAUAUUCCAGAUCCAAACUUGUUGAAAGUGAUGAGGAAAUGGAAGAUGAACCUCCAAUCUUUGCUGAAGAGGAGGCUGGUCCUAGUAAGAAAAAGAAGAAACAGAAACGCGAGACAAUAAAAUAGACUCAGUGCAAGACAAAAAUGUUGGUGAAGCUGAUAGAUGGGCGAUGGAAGGUGACGCACUUUGUUCGUGACCAUAAUCAUCCGCUGGUGAACAAACCUUCGUUGUCCAAAUACUUGAGAUCCCACCAAGGCAUCUCACUUGAUGAAAAAGAGAUUUUGCGCAUCUUGUAUAACUGCAACUUGACUACAGGUGUGUUUCUAUAUCCCUUACAUAAUUAAGUUUCCCUCUAGACAGUCCAGUGUGCAAUUAUUAUGGUACUCCUAUGCAACUGAAAUGUCUUGAUUAUGCAACUGGUGUCCAACUUCCCAUGUUGUUUCUAUAUCACUUUGGUGUGUUAUGCAACUAGAUUACCUUCACUGUGCAACUACACAAUGUCAUGUAUGCAAAGCGCAAAGUGUUUUUAAAAAGGUGCAGCUAGGUGUCCGUUUCCUGCAAUUAUCUUCUGUGCCAACACAUGUCCUAUUACUGUGCAGCUGGAUGUGCGCAUUCGUGCGACUAAAAAAUGAUAUAUUGUGUUUUUGUAUUAUGCAGGAUGUAUGAUGCAUAUAAUGGCAGAGUUCUACGGAUCUGAGAUGAUGGUGCCAUUCGGACCAAACGCAAUAACAAAUCUGUGUACAAGUUUCCGUAGAGAUGACAUAAAGGAGGGUGACAUGAUUGAGAGAAUUGCGCACUUCAAAGAUAUAUAGAAAACCGCUCCAGACUUCUUCUAUAAGGUAAAAUAUGAUGAAGAGGACAGGGUUGUCAACAUAUUUUGGGUGGAUGGCUUAGCUCGAAAAGCGUAUGCUGAGGCGUACCACAAUUGCAUAUCGUUUGACACUACCUACAUGACCAACAUGUAUAAUAUGCCGUUCGCACCCUUCAUUGGAAUAAACCGACAUGGCCAAUCUUUCAUGCUCGGUUUCGCGUUUGUGAGGCAGGAGUUGGCAUUGAUCUUUGAUUGGGUCUUCCAAGCAUUCCUAGAGGCUAUGGGUGGCAAACCUCCUGACAACUUCAUAACCGAUCAGGAUGGUGCAGUGAGGCAGUCAAUAAAGAACAUCUUUCCAACCAUCGUGCAUCGCUGUUAUUGAUGGCACAUCAUGAAGAAGGCACAGGAAAAGGUUGGUUGGUUGUGCCGGAAUCCAGGGCUCUCUAAUGAUUUCAACUACUGUGUUGACUUCAGCUUCACUCCAGAUGAGUUUGAACAGAAUUGGGCUGGGUUAAUGAUGAAGUACGAGGCUAUGACACACACACACACACUUUGAGAAGUUGUAUGAAUACAGGUCAACUUGGGUGCCAUGCUAAUUCAAACACAGGUUCUUCCCCUUCCUACAGUCUACAUAGUGUAGUGAGGGAUUCAAUGCCGUCCUAAAAAGAUAUGUGAACCCACACAACUCGAUGCUGAACUUCGUCAAGCAAUAUGAAAAAAUUCAGAACCACAUCCUUGCCAAGGAAGGCUACAAUGAUUACAGGACACAACACCUUGAGAUUGAGCUGUGGUUCAAAUUCCCAAUAGAGAAGCAAGCUUACGAAACCUACACUAGGGACCUUACCACAAGUUCAGAGAAGAGUUUGAGCUGAUUGGACAUUAUAAUGCGUUCCAAGUUGGUGCUGAUAUUUUUGAGCUCAGACCGAAUCAGGAAUUUGUUGCCAAAUAUGGUUCUCGAAACUACUUGGUGCAAGAUAGGGUGGAGGAGGGUUCCUAUUUGUGUGAGUGUUGUAAAAUGGACAAGGACGACAUCCUUUGUUGCCACAUCUUCAAGGUGUUCACUCAUAUUGGAGUUGAUGUCAUAUCGGAAAGGUACCUGCUAAGACGGUGGAUACCUACCGUUGUACCUAGUGCGCUAGGGACUGGGUAUGAGCAACCGGAUGAAAUGCCUCCUCAAUCAAAGAAGCAGAUAAGGGACAGGAACAUGAUAUACAAUUUUCGGAAACUAGCAAAGUUUUCUAGUGGCUCUGAUGCAACACAAGCUAUUGUAUACAAGCAUAUGCGCGGAGCACGUACCGAGAUCGGCCACCUGAACAAGUCCAAGAAAAAGAAAAAACCGGCUGCCGCUACAGUGCCAUCAGAUGAUGGCAACCUGCUACAUCUUGAGCUUGUGUUGGUUUUCCUUGAAGAGGAAAGGGUGAUGCAACAAAGUAGCGUAAGUAUUUCCCUCAGUUUUUGAGAACCAAGGUAUCAACUCAGUAGGAGGCUUCUGAACAAGUCCCACGAACCUACACAAACAAACAAAGAACUCGCAACCAACGCGACAAAGGGGUUGUCAAUCCCUUCACAGCCACUUGCGAAAGUGAGAUCUGAUAGAGAUAAUAUGAUAAGAUAAAUAUAUUUUUGGUAUUUUAUAAUAUAGAUGCAGAAAAUAAAGAUGCAAAUAAAAGUAGAUUGAAAGCAAAUAUGAUAAGAGAUAGACCCGGGGGCCAUAGGUUUCAUUAGUGGCUUCUCUCAAGAGCAUAAAUAUUACGGUGGGUGAACAAAUUACUGUCGAGCAAUUGAUAGAAAAGCGAAUAAUUAUGAUGUUAUCUAGGCAUGAUCAUGUAUAUAGGCAUCAUGUCCGCAACAAGUAGACCGACUCCUGCCUGCAUCUACUACUAUUACUCCACACAUCAACCGCUAUCCAGCAUGCAUCUAGAGUAUUAAGUUCAUAAGAACAGAGUAACGCAUUAAGAAAGAUGACAUGAUGUAGAGGGAUAAACUCAAGCCAUAUGAUAUAAACCCCAUAUUUUUAUCCUCGAUGGCAACAAUACAAUACGUGUCAUGCAACCCUUUCUGUCACUGGGUAAGAACACCGCAAGGUUGAACCCAAAGCUAAGCACUUCUCCUAUGGAAAGAAAGAUCAAUCUAGUAGGCCAAACCAAACUGAUAAUUCGAAGAGACUUGCAAAGAUAACUCAAUCAUAUAAAAGAAUUCAGAGAAGAUUCAACUAUUAUCCAAAGAUAAACUUGAUCAUAAACCCACAAUUCAUCGGAUCUCGACAAACACACCGCAAAAAGAGAUUACAUCGAAUAGAUCUCCACAAGAGAGGGGGAGAACAUUGUAUUGAGAUCCAAAAAGAGAGAAGAAGCCAACUAGCUAAUAACUAUGGACCCGAAGGUCUAUGGUAAACUACUCACAACUCAUCGGAGGGGCUAUGGUGUUGAUGUAGAAGCCCUCCGUGGUGGAUUCCCCCUCCGGCAGAAUGCCGGCGACGGCUCCAAGAUGGGAUCUCGCGGAUACAGAAGGUUACGAUGGUGGAAAUUGUGUUUCGGUUGCUCCCUGGAUGUUUUCGGGGUAUGUAGGCUUAUAUAGGAGGAAGAAGUACGUCGGUGGCCGCCCGAGGGGCCCACGAGACAGGGGCAUGCCCUAUAGGGGGGGGGCCCUACCCUCUCAUGGUCGCCUCGGCUGCUUCUUGACUUGCACUCCCAAGUCCUCUGGAUCACGUUCAUUCCAAAAAUCACGCUUCCGAAGGUUUUAUUCCGUUUGGACUUCGUUUGAUAUUCCUUUUCUUCAAAAUACUGAAAUGGAAAAAAACAGCAAUACGGGCUGGACCUCCGGUUAGUAGGUUAGUCCCAAAAAUGAUAAUAAUGUAUAAAAUAAAGCCCAUAAACAUCCAAAAUAGGUAAUAUAAUAGCAUAGAACAACAAAAAUUUAUAGAUACAUUGGAGACGUAUCACAACCCUCGAGGACCUUCUCCACCUCCAGACCCUACACGGCAUGCUCCGCCACGUCCUCCCCCGCCUGGCCCAACAAGCAGUGGCACGCGUGCUCCUCCCAAUAGCCCUACUGGGAUUACUCAGGAGCCUCAUCAUCCAGGUAAUCGCCUGCCCUAACACCCCAUCUAACUAGGUGUGUAACUUCAGUUACACACUCAUGGUGCCCAGUUGCACAGAACAUGCUACCCAGUUGCGUACGCUAUGUUAGUUCGAGCAUAAAGAUAAACAACUAACUUUUUUUUUCUGUUCUGGCUAUAGUUGAUGGCAACCCUCGAGGACCUCCUCCACCUCCAGGCCCUACACUGCAUGGUCCUCCACCUCCUCCCCCGCCUGGCCCAACAAGUAGUGCCCCGCAUGCUCCUCCCAAUGGCCCUAUAGGGAGUACUCAGGGGGCUCGUCAUCCAGGUGAUUACCUGCCCCAACUCCCCAAGCAAGUAGGUGUGUGAUUUCAGUUGCACACAUCAUGGUGCCCAGUUGCACAGAACAGGCUACCCAGUUGCGCGCGCUCUGUUGGUUCGAGCAUCAAGACAAACAACUAACUUGCUUUUUCCUGUUCUGGCUACAGGUGAUUACCAUCCAAGUGCCAUGACGGGCCGUGCUACUACAGGUUUUCUUUUAAACUUAAUUUUCACAUAGCAACCAGUUAGUUGCACAACAUAAGUUGUGUGGUUGCAGAGAACAUCAGUCCUGGUUGCGCAGAAAAAAAAACUAAACUCUUUAUAUGAUUAUUCCAUAGGUGAUCAAACACAACCUCGUGAUGGUCCUGCCCCGUUGGAGGCUGCAUCCCCAGCACAAGCCUAUGAUGAUUUUGUGCCUAGGGAUCCUCCAAAGUCUACUACAAAGGGUAGGGAGAAGAGUCGAUGAUACAAAUCGGUGCUAGAGCUACACGGAAAGAAGAAAAACAAAUGCAGCCACUGCCAAUCUACAGAGCACACUUCUGGUGUGUGUCCACUCAGACAGCUGUGAUUCUCUUGUAUCGUUUGUAUCAAAAAAGGGAAAAGGGAACAUAAUGAUGGUUUUUGAGCAAUUUAGGGGCCAAAGUGGACACAUUCAGCAUCUAUGCUUUCUCUUCUCUAAGUUGUUUUCCUUGAAUUAGUUAAUGCACUAUGUAAAAAUGGUUGUUAUUUGUGCCUUUGUUGACAAAUCGUUUAAUAUUUAGUUGUUGAACAAUUGUAUGCCCAGUUCUCCUAAUGUGUGAACAAAAGUGAUGACAAUGAGUUGCAACGGAAUUACUACUAAUAUGCAACUACAAAUCUUUCUAAAAAUUGUGCAAACUAGCAAGGCAUUGAAAAAAGGGCAAAUAAUAAAAAGAGUACUGACCUAGUCCUUUUCGUAUCUCAGCAACUUCCUCCAUGGGGCGGAGUUGUGCGUGCUGGUGACCCAAUCAUAUGUCAGCUUCUUCCUGAUGUUGAGUGUUUCCCUGGGCUCAUAGUUGGGCAGUAGGCUCCCGUUCCACUCAGUGGUGUUAAGUAGUGUGAACAGACCACACUCAUUGCUGCAAUGGGGAAAAAGAAAAUUUGUUGGAGGCUUUUAAAACCAAUAAGACAAUGUACUCUGUGGCACUGUGCAACUAAUUAUAUGUCACUGUGCAACUACUUAUGUGGCACUGUGCAACUAAUUAUGUGGCACUGUGCAACUACUGAUGUUCAACUGUGCAACUGGCUAGAUGAUCCAUGAGAAAGUCAUAAAAAUGAAAAACAGAUUGCAAACUAGUUGUGUGUCUUAAAAAAACUAAAGAUUGUACAUGUAGGAAAUUUUUAAGACUACAGAUUGAUUGAAAAAAAUAGAGAAGAAUGUAAUGCUUCUUAUCUUACUUGCCAAUCUGCUUCGGUACGUCGAUGUCAAUAACCUGGAAGUGCUCGAUGCUCUGCUUUGGGUAAUGCUUCCUCCAUAGUUGGAGUACUGCCCCGCGAUCGUAGAGGCAAUGUUCAUCAACUCUAUGUGUUCUAGCUUCCUGUUUGAAUCAAGGACUUCGAAACGUCCGUCCCUCAAGUUGAUGUUGAAGACCCAAUAAUGUCUGCCUCCUUCACGGUCGUUUACAUUAUCGCACUCAAGCACUGGCAGCAUGACCUGCACACGUGAAUGAUUCAGACACAGAUACACGUUGUAGGUAAGAAAAAAUACUACAAAAAUGAUGAAGUUGAAACAGGUUGGCAGAAGGUAGUUGCCAACUAAUAGAUAUGUCAUGUGCAAAUGAACAUGAUGUGAGUGCCAACUAAGAGAUGGAUCAUGUGGGCAUAGCACUGACCAAGUCUUUCUUGUCGAGACGGUUCUUGUAUUCAAACUUCUUGUUUAUCUCAUUCACAUUGUGGAGCCCUUGCUGUACGUUGAUCUGCAGAAAUUAUAAACAUGCCUCAACCUCCUUUCUAUAUGAAAAGACUCCCCGGUUGGUCAACAAAAGUGGUACAAAAAAAGGAAGAGGAUACAAAGCUUUUGAAAAAUCUUACAAAAAUCCUCAGUGGCAUAACGACUUUCUUUGACCCUUCUGAUAAGUUAUCCAUGAUGUGUAUGAUUCCAGUCUCAAUAACAAUUUUUGAAAGACAUUGCUUUGGCUUCAUGGAAUAAACUAACUCCUUUAAAGAAAUGUAGAAAUUACCAUACCUGAUUAUCUCAGGGCUGCAAUUUUUUUUAAAGAAAUGAAAGACAAAGUUAGCUUGAAGGGUCACAGAAAGAAAGAAAUAUGCAUUAAAAAAACAAGAGUGUGCAACUAAAAGCACUGUUCUAUGCAACAUGCUCUGCUUGUUGUGCAACUAAGUGGGUGGUACUGUGCAACUGAAAAAGAUAUGUAUAUAGGUUGUGGGGUGUUGGUUUACUUGGUAUUAUCAUCAUUUGCUUCUGGGUGAUGCCUGACCCAAUACACGAUGGCAGCGUAAAGCUUGUUGACUGCCUCAUUGGAUUUGAAGGUCUUAUUUUUGUUGUAAUCAGUGAAUGAAGACCUUUGAGAUGCUCCGGGCCUUAUUUCCCUCCUCUGUCUUCGUGCAAUAGGUGGUCCUGAAGAACUGCUCGUGCCAACUGCUGAUUCUUCGCAUAUCGGGGUGUGGCAGCUGUCUGGUGAUCCAACAUCUGGUUGAUGAGCUAAUCCCUUGCCAGCAUCAGCAGCAACGCAUCCUCUGUUCACAGUUGCUGGGUGCAACUCAUCCUCAUCUAUGACAACCACGUUGGCUUCCCCUGUUUGUGCUACUGGAGCAAGUGCUCCAGCAGGCCCAACAUCAUCAUCUAUGCCCAGGUCAAAGGUUGGUGCAUCGCAGUACCCGUCACCAUGAUAGCUGUAAGAAUUUGAUCUGCGCAUGGGUUGAAGGCCAGGGGCAUCUCCUUUCGGCACAUUCACAGGUGCAUCGUUCGCUGACCUGGUUCACAGUAAUGUUGUGGUUGGCGGCCUGGGAGGCUUGCACCUGCUUACAAUGUUGAACACCUCCUCUUAUGUUAAUGUGUGCUGAAAAUCAGCUCUUGGUGAUGAACGCUUGCUUGGAUGCUCUGUGAUAGCUCUUGGAGAUGGCUGGCAGGUUGAUGACCUCCUUCCAUGUUUGGCAUUGAAGAAUCUCUAUGAGUUGUCACCUUGGGGCUUGCGGUUGCAGUUGUGUCUUCCUGAGCAACAGCGAUAGUUUUGACUGUGACCCGCGUGCUAAUUGACACUUCAGUUGGUACACUAGUAUCUGUAGUUGGCAUCUUUGCAGCCUGAGUUGGCAGCAAACUAGCAGAACUUGGCAUUCCUGCAUUAAUGGUUGUGGCACGUUGUUCUGUCUCAUGUCUGGACCCCACACCUUUUCUGUCCUGUUCCGCAUUUGUGCCCUUGGCAAACUUGACAAUCUUUUGCUGCUUAGAUGAUUUAGGUGGGGUUAUUGAUAGAGAAAUCUUCCCCUUGAUCUGUUGAACUUCUAUGAUGGUUGUAGGCUCAACAGGAAUUGCUGACACAUCUUGAGUGGUGGUUGGCUCUCUAAUCACUAUAGUUGGCACAACAGUUUGCGCCACAACUUCCUUCUCUACAUUUAUUUCUACAUCUGCCCUCGGCAUCUGUUGCUUGGUUUGAGGCAACUUUAGAUUCUUCUUCAUUAUAACUCAUUUGCUCUUCUGGACCACAUGAGGGUUUGCCAUACAUGCUGCCUUGCUCUUGCUGGAGUUGAUAUCUGAAAGCUGCUUCAAAUAUUUCUUGUAUUUAUCCUUCGAAUGAACUCAGUCAAGACCCUUCCUUGCUUCCUCCAUGUCAACUGGAUUCUUUUCAGCCUCACUCAAGAAGAACAGUUUCUGGUCAAUAGCAAAAUAUAUCUUGUCACAGAACUCUCGCUCAUGGAAGUCUGGCACAGGGAAAGUGGUUGGCAAAGCUGGAUUCAUGUUGCACAGCUUGAACAUAUCAAUGCUCCCCUGAGACUCUGCUUCAUCAUUUUUCUUUGACUUUGACAAAUUCUUCUCUUUCCAGCAAGUUUUGUCAAUCAAUAUCUGUAGUGUGCUCCUGCUGCUCAUUGAGUUGCUACUGCUGGCAGGGUUGGUAGAGCUCCUACUCACCUUGGUUGUGUUGCCGCCUGUACCACCAGAACCAGGGCCAUUGUCAUCGUCAUCAUCAUCGGAGUUGUCACUGCCUCCAUUGGAUCCCCUUUGAUCAUUAGGAUCAACAUCCUUGUCUUCUUCCUCGUCAUCUCCUCCCCCCUCACUGCCAUCAAUUGCUACAACUUUGUCUCCAUCUCCUUCUUUGGCCUCAUUUUCUUGUUCCUCCUCCUCUGCCUCACUAUCUUCUUCCUUUCCCUCCUCCUCUCCUUUGUCCUCUUUUUCUUUGUCCUCCUCCUCCUCUUCCUCCUCCUCCUCCUCCCCAUCUUCUUCUUUGUCCUCCUCCUCCUCUUCCUCCUCAUCCUCCUCCUCCUCAUCUUCUUCUUUGUCAUCCUCCUCUUUGUCCUCCUCCUCUGAUUCAUCCUCAUAUGUGUCCCCGUCAACUUCAACAUCUUGUGGUACUUCCAUUUCAUCAUCUUCUUCUGACUCCUCCUCAUCAAACUCUUCUUCUUCUUGUAUAGGUGAAACCCGUCUCUUCCUUUUUGGAGCACGGCGUGACGGAGCGGUUCCUUGAUGUCUGCUGUACAUAUGGAUCAGUAUUCGAUUCCUCAUCAUGAAUCUUGGCAAUUGCUUCAAUGAAGGUGCCAACCUGUUCAGUGCUGCCUUGCACAAGUCAUUGACCACUUUGGCAAUCUUUGCCCUUUUCUGCAUCAACAAAAAAAAUUGAGUACUCAUUCAAUUAGAAACAAUUAAAAAAACAAAAUGUCGGUAAAUGAUCGAAACUCCUUUAUGCAAAAGACUUACCUGUGGAUUGUAAGUGGUAAUUUGGAUGCAACGAAUGCUUGAGCUUGAAAGAGACCACCAAAUAGUGGUGUCUGCUCCGUGCCCCUAUACUCCUAUUUAAGCUGAUGUAAAAAGGAGAAAAAGAAAAGAACAAGGUUAUCAAAAUAGAUAUUGUGUUGAACGAAAACCAGAAUGUUAUAACCUGUGCAACUACAACAAAAUGUUGGGCAUACUGGAAUCUACAUGUAUGCAACUGCACAAACCAAAAAAACUGUGCACCCCAUAGGUCACCUAAAAAAAUGUUUCUGCCAACUGAUAUCACACAUCUUGCAACAAGAUAAGUAAAACUGUGCAACUUGAAACAUAUGACGUGUCAUAUAAAAAUGAACAUGUGUCCAGAUGCCAAACUAGAGCUACAAGCUGUGCAACUACAGGCAUUAUUGUGCCAACUAAUUACAAAUUUUGUGCAACUACCAAAAAGUGUCAAAAAGCUGAUCUCAAAAGCAUAUAUGCAGCUACCAAGGAAUUAAAACUGAGCAGAAAUGAAUAGAACAUAAAAAUAGCCACUGUUGAAAAAAACAAAAGGGAACUCACUUGUAAUUUGCUGAACACACCAGGAGAGAUUAAGUCCUUCUUGAUCACCUUGGCAAUUAGGUUACUGUCCCAUGCAUUCACUCGUAUCGUGCAGUUGCUUUCUGGGAUGUCAUGAAUGAGCGUGUCAAGGUAUAGGAUCUGCCGCAGAACCAAAAAAGGAAACCCAACUUCAGUUAUUAUGAGGGGUAUUUUCAUAAACUAUAACUGCACAAAAGGAAGAAAAACACAUGGAAGUGCUAGUUUUCACUCACCAUCAAGUUAUACAAGCAGCAACAAAUAGUUUGCUUCGCCUGGUCCAUGUUCCGGAAAGCUUCAUUAAUGUGUUCUGCUACAAAAAGGUAGAUGUUUGUGUUCUUAAGGUUUGGAUGAUCUAGCACGAGUCCGUAGCACUUUGGGCUUAGCCUCAGGGCCGUGGUUGGUGCUAGGAAAGUGCUGAAUGCAACCGUAAGCCAGGCCAUAAAGAAUGUGUCAUCCGUUCUUCCCGCCAUAUCCUUAAUCAUCUUGCACCAUGUAGUGAUCUGGGGAUGAGAAUCUCCACGUAUGUUGAAAGCCUCUCUGAAUCUCCUAGUUGCAUCCUUGUCAACUACAUAUCUGACUUUUUGACCCUUGUUAGGAAGAUCAAAUACCCUUUGAACACUGUCAGCAUCGACACGGAUCAUUCCCCUGCCUGGGAACACCAUUUCAGAGGUCUCUGGCUGGUAGGACUGCACCAGAAAUUUACUGAAGUCCCUUGGAAGUGUAUCUGAUAAGUUCAAGAGGCCCCCAAACAACCUUGAGACUAGCUCAGACUUCUGCGGCGGGGAUAGCGAGCUGUUGAACUUCGCAAACCGCCCUGGUGAUGCCCUUAUCCUGCCAGCUUGUGAUGGUCACUCCACAUCUUCCCGGGCAGCCACCUCAACUCCUUCACCGCUGGCCUGAUGUUGAAAAAAUAAAAAAAAUUAAACACAAGACAGAAAACUGGACUGAGAAAAAACUAGCAAUGAUCAUUUGGAUCAGUAUUGCUAAAAUUAUAUAAACAUAAAAUGGAUCAUGCCAACUAAUAUGAUGUUUUUGUGCAACUAAGAAAGCUCAUCAUGGCAACUGAAGACUACUAGUGUGCAACCUGCAAGAAAACUAAGAAAACAUACUAGACCUGACAACUACAAAAAGUUCUAGGGGAUGUGCAACGAUAAAGCAUGAUAUUGGAAAGAAGAUAACAACAACUAAAAAAAGGUUUGCAAGAAAUUGUUCAAUAGCUCAUAAACACACAAAAAAACCACAUACCUCAGCAUCUGCUACGGAAGAGGAGGCAACUCCUCCACCAACUGUUGCCUGCACAAAAAUGGUGACCAGUGAUGUCAGCUACAAAGAUGCCAACAUUUGUCAACUUCUGCGAAAACUAUAUUUACAUCAAGAUGACCAGUGUUGUCAACUACAAAAUGAUUAUUGAGCAACUAGAACAAAAUAGUGGUGCCAACGGCUGCAUAAUUUCAUCAGCGCCUAAAAAACCCGAGAAACAUUGAUAUUCAAGGAUUUACUUACCCUGGUAGAUGAUUUAGCUCGCCCUGCUGCUGCUGACGUUUAGUCCGCUUUACAACCCGAAACCGAUCAACAUCCUAAGAAAAUAAAAAAAACAUGGGCAUGGGAUUUUUUUUUAUUAUAUGACCCAAACAAAACCAAAAUAAGGUGCUUGUGUCAUCAGCAUGCCACUUACCUCAACUUCCUCUCCCUCAUGAACACUAGGCGCACGGCAUGGCUGGCAAUUAGCAACACGCUUAGUCCUCCGGCGAAGGGUCUGACUUCCAGAACCCUAAUUAAGCAACAAAAAAACAUGAAAAAAAGGACAUAAGCAUACAUGGAUAAGUUGAAAACAACUCAAAGACGCAAAAAAAAAGAGAAAAAUACAUCUCCUUCAUUGCCAUCCGCAUCUCCUCCUAUUAUAACUUUUUUUAGCCUGUGAGGGGAAUACAAGAAAAGAAAACAUAGUUAGAAGAUGCGCAAAUGAACUAGACAAAACAUAAAAGCUUGCUUUGAUCUACAGACCUCUACACAUAAGCAGAACACCCAGUGCAAAAAACUGUAAAACAUGAGGACAACCAACUACUACAGUGAUGCAGCCAAUUGGGCAGUCAACCUUGUGCAACUGGACAGCUUAUAAGCCAACUAGUUUCACUAAGGCAAGAAAUAACUAGGCAGAAAAAUAGUUAACUAAAGGCAGCCAGCUGGGUAUGAUAAUUUGUGCAACUGGGACAAACAAAAAGCCAACUAAUAUAGCCAACUGGAAUAUAUGUAUAAUUAGGUGCACCAGCACGGCACCUACAGGGGCAACUCGAACACGGAAGUAGAGCAACUUUUGCAACUCAAACAACAUAUAGACAACCUAGUACAAAAUUAGGAAGCAAACCUAAGCAUGAUAACCUAGCAGCCAACCUAGUACAAUGUAGAACAUGUGGACAACCAACUAGUAUAUGGAUGCAGCCAACUGAACAACAUAUAGACAGUCAACCUAGUGCAAAAUAGCAAACCAAGUAAGCAGGACAAGUAGUGCAAGUGUAGAACAUAUGGACAGCCAACUAGUAAAACUGAUGCAGCCAACUGAGCAGUCAACUUGUGCAACUGAACAGUGCAUAAGGACAGCCAACUAGCAUGUGAAUGAAGCCCGGAUAGAAUUUUGUGCAACUAAUAGAAAAUCUCUACCUAAAUCUCUACCAACUUGUGCAACUGAACAAUAUAUAGACAACCAACCUAGUACAAACAGGAAGCAAACUAAGCAUGACAACUAAUGCAAAGUGCAGAACAUAUGAACAGCCAACUAAAAAAGGGAUGCAACCAACUGGGUAGAAUUUUGUGCAACUAAACCAAAAACUAGUUCAAUCAGCCAUUGCAUCGCACACAUCUAGGACAUCAUCUACCAACAACAAAAACCGUAACAAGGACCAGAACAUGGUAUAUGGACGGUAUAUUGGGCGCACACGUACCUCAAACCGCAAAUUCCCAAGCACCACUUGGCCAUGACCAACAAAACACUCGGUAAUGAAUCCCCACCAUCACUACCCCUUACAACCGCACAAAAUCAAAGCAAGCACAGAAAGGGGCAGAAAAUGGACCCUAUGCAGCCCGCCAGAUCCGCCACUGUCAACCCGGCCACAGCCUCAUCCCCAGCGACGAGACAGAGAGGGGAAGGACAACAAAAGGCCUCUGCGGACGUCUGCGUCGACCGCAAAUUCCAACAACCACUCCACCGACACCAACACACCCUCCCACCAUGAAUCCCCACCACCACUUUCCCUUGCCGCCGCACAAAUCCAAGGACAUGAGAGUCCAACGGAAGCACACACAACACGUCUACACCAAAUCGACCAUACGAGGCAGUUGACGCCAUAGGAACCCUAGGAAUCCCAGCCCGCCAUUUCCGCCACCGACGGCCUCGAGACGACCUAGACCCCCGGCGAUGAGACAGAGAAAGGAGGGAUGCGGGAUGCACUGGGUACUUGCAACGCCGACGAGGGCCAACAAUGAAUCCCCCCGCGGUCCACUGGAGAUUUGGAGAGCAGCGGCGCGAAUCGCCCUGGAGCGAGAGCGAGGGCGGAGGAGAGGAGCGCAUAAUGGGAGGAACGGGAGAGAAAGGGGGGAGAAAGGGCGAGAACGACUCGUGUUUCAAAAACGGCCGCCCACAAUCUACGCCACGCCCGCUUACAUGUGGGUCCACGCUCGUCCCGGAUAAGGACAAACCGCCCAUGAUGCGCGGUUGCACGAAAUCGACCAGAGACACCUCGCACUCACGCGAUGCCGAUCGCGAGCGAUCGUGCGGUCGCGGGCCGGCCGCCCGUUCUCUCCAAUUAGUGCGUAUGCACUUUUAAGGUUUUAGGUAGAAAAAUUAUUGAUCAUAUAUUAAAAAAUGAUGAAAUUUUUUGAUCAUGCAUAUAAAAAAUGUUAAUCAAGCAUUUGAAAAAAAAUUGAACACAUAUUUAAAAAAUAUUAAUCAAACAUUCAAGAAAUGUCAAAUGUGCAUAGAAAAAAUAUUGACCAUGUGUUAAAAAAUGAUGAUUAAAUUUGAUCAUGUAUAUAAAAAUGUUAAUCACGCAUUUGAAAAAAAUGUUGAACAAGUGUUUAAUAAUGUUAAUCAAUAAUUUAGAAAAUUUUAAAUGUGUAUAUAAAGAAUAUUAAUAAUAUACUUAAAAAGUUAAUAUUUUUCUAUGAAAACUAGAAAAAAUGUUGACCAUGUAUUAAAAAUUGUUAAUCUUGUAUUUGAAAAAUGUUAAAACUGUGUUUAGAAAAACUUUAUAAUUUGUAUUGGAAAAAUAUUAAAACUUUGUAUAGAAAAAAUGUAUAAUUUGUAUUGAAAAAAUGUUAGACAUGUAUUAGAAAAUUGUUGUUGAUAUAUACGAAAAAUGUAGAAUAAUAACCAAAGAACAAAGAAAACCAAAAUAGAUACAAAGUAAAAAAAGAAAAUGAAAAAUGAGGAGAAAAUGCAAAAAAAGGAAAUACCGGAGAGGAAAAAAAAGAAACGAAUAAAACAAAUAAAAAUCAAAGAAAACCGGCUCGAAUAGCCUCAAGGAGGAUGCACCCCUAGUUCUAACAGCGAAGGGGACUUGGGCGGAGUGGUUAUCGCAGCGAGGGAUCUCCCUGGAGACCAGGGAUUGAUCCUGAUUUCACACCUUUCUUGUGCUCUUUUUAUGUAAUAUGUGCGCUUGAAUGGCUGGCCCAAUACAACGUGAGGGGGAAAAAAGCUUCAGCAAGAGAUGCUACUAUCUCGCUUAACGCGAGACAUAGCCCUCGCGACAGACCACCGCCGAUGAUCUGUCGUGAGCUCUAGGCCGAGGAGGCCUGUAAUGAAGCCCAGAGAUAGACACAGAGGCUGUUGAACUUGAGGCUCUAUUUCCAUCAAGGUGUUGGAUUUAGGCCUCACUUGCAUAAAGAGAACGACAUUGCUGUGCAAAUGACGUUCGCGGCAGAAAUGCGCACGAUCCUCUAAUCAAUGGGGAACAAGUGUUGCCCAACCGAAUCUGAUGGUUGCCGCAGCUUGUCGGCUGUAAAUCGGCCGCAAUUGUGUCGUCCGUAUAGCAGUCGUUGUAAAAGAAACUUCCCUGAUUAUAAAGUGUACAUGCAUUUUGAACACUAAUUUUGACCACUACUUUAACCAACAAACCACCAGCUAUAUGUCACAGUCAAACAAAAGGAAGUCAAACCAUGUUGGAUGGUUAAAAGGACAAUGAUAUCCCAGUCCUGGGAUUCAAAACCUAUAAUUGAAGCUGAUGCUCAUUCUGGAUUUAUUUCAGGCCUUCCGGCGACGAGAGUUCAGUGGAAUGAAGCGUUCCUGUCAACUACAAAGGCAUCGGUGGUGAUUUUCUCAAUCACAAGAUGACGUGCCCGUCAACUACAAAGGCAUCGGUGGUGAUUUUCUCAAUCACAUGAUGACGUGCCGGCUCGGUCUUUCGAAUUUGCUCAUAGAGGCAAGGUGUGCAUUCAUAGGGAGGAAUAUAUGCGCGUAUGUAUGAGUGUCUGUGUCUGUAAAGAUAAAGAUAUAUUCAAAGAUACAAAAAUAGAAACAUUACACGAUGUAGAUACGGGUGGGCUUUGGGCUUGGGUAUGUGAUUACUGUACCCGCCCCAUACCCUAUCCAUGCCAUCCUUAAUCCCCUAAAAAAUGCCAUCCUUAAUGGAGUACAAAUACUGAAACCACUUACAUGAAUUUUCCAUCCAAAAUAAUAUUGCAUUUGUUACAUUUUACAACAAAGACUCGUGAAUAAUAGAGCCUAACACUAUGCUCCAUUCAGCAGUGCCCAAAUAGUGAAGUAAGCAUUACAGCAGUUCCAUUAUUUAUUCCACCACUUUCAAUGUUAUUUACAUGUAAUCGUGUCGUCAGACAACAGGAAGUCACAUUAGUUUUCUCUCAAUGGCAGUACCAAACGUCAAAAUAAUGAAAUCAGAUGGAUUUUACUCUACAGCGCAGCUCGAUCCGAUGACCGAAAACACAUUUCAGUAUCAGCCAUUCCAUCAGAGCCUACAAGCAAUAGCUUGUCAGGAUAGGCUUCGAUACGCCCGAAUGCACUGGUGCCGGGAGGACACUCCAGCGCAGCCUCGAGGGUGCGAUGGUGCACGCCGUGGGAGUCCACUGAGUAGCCACCCUUGUGGUCGUGCCCGGCAAAGCAGGCCCUAACACAGUUGUAUCGUCGAACGAUAGACAUCACCUCAUCAUAGUUCCACAUAAGAGCUGCUGGGUACACUGCGCCAGGGUCCAUUGGGAGAUGACUGCAUAGGAUGACGUUCUGCCGGCGGUCCGAUGCAUCCUGGAGGACAUCGUUGAGCCAGGACAGCUGCUCCUUGCCAACUGCACCAUUGAACUUCACAAACCGCCUGUCGACGCCAAAAAGACCGUCAGGGCUGUUCUUGUCGGUGUUUGGGUUCUUUUCAUCGAGGAGCUUCAAUGCUGCUGCGGUUACAGGAUGAUCAUGAGGCCAGCCAAGUGCGCUGAAAUCAUAAGCAUCCAGAACAACAAAUCUGUACUCAGGACAUGGUGAGAAGUCAUAAUACGCGCGAUCAGAAUCCGUCGGCAUCUUCAACAAUGCCACCAGCUUGCUCCGAGGAAGGUUGUAGAGGCAAUGGUUGCCAAACAUGUGGUAGGUCGGGCCAUCGAACUUCUCAAACUCGUCAAUGACCUUCUGCAUUGCCCACAACGACUUGUCCUUUGGGCAGAACCCGUCGAUGGUGUCUCCAAAGUUGAUGGAGAAAUUGAUAUUGCCUUGCUCAUUCCAUGUGCUGACAGCUCUUUGAAGGACGCUGAUGCUGUGCCGGUAGUAGCGUGGGACGCCGAGGAACGAGCAGCCGUCUGGGAUAUCGGCGUACUGGACAUCAGCAAUGAUGCCAAAUGUGAACAAGGGCUUCUUGGCAGAUGCAUGGGCUAGUCCGUUUGCGGCAGCCAUCACGAGAACUUCAGCGUCACCAGUCCUUCGGAAUCCCUCUUUGCAGGGAAGGCAGAAUUAGAUUCUGGAAUAGAAACGCGUUGCCCCCGUGCUGGAACCUAUAAUAUGAGCCAAGCAUUAUUUGUUCAGAAUUUGGGGGAGGGGAUCACUAUAUAUCACUUUGUCACAUUAAUAAACAGUAUCAAGCAGCGUAGCACAAUGCAUAUCAACAUCGUAGCAGUAAAAGUCUCUGCGUAUAGAGCCCUGCUAUAGAGCCUAGAAUAUAAGCCAGGCAAUGUUUGUUCAGAGUUCCGGUGAGGGGGUUAGUAUAACUUAGUAUAAACUAUAAAGCAAAGGAGCGCAAUGCAUAUCAACAUCACAGCAGUAAAAGUCUCUGCUUAUGGAAUCGUUGUGUUCCAUAAAAAAAAAAGGGUAUCUCCUUAUUCUUCAAAUUUUGUAGUGUAAAGCGUCAUUUCACCCACCCUCAGACACUAGCUAGUGGAAAUGCUACGAUAUUUCUUGACUUAGGGCUUCAGGAGCUCCUGAGAUUUACACGACGCGCGGAGACGCAGCCGAGCUGCCUGUAAUCGAAGCCUACGAGCUGCAGUGCCGAGAAACAAAGCGACCAGACCAACAGAUUGCAGCGACCAAACGAUCACAGGAGGAAGGAAACAGGGGAGGAUGGAUUGAUUACCGGCGCAGCGACAGGGGCGGCGAGGUAGGCUGCGGCUGCCGCGAGCGGGGUGGGCGGACUCCGGCGGGAUCUCACGCGCGCUGGGUUGGUAGAUCCCGGAUCGGACGGUGGAGUCCAGAAGCAGCGAGCAGCCGGGAGGGGGGAGGAGUUUGGAUCUUAACGGAAGCCUCUGUCCUCCUCUCCUCCGCCUCUCCGGCUCGGGAGAGGCAAAGACGGGGGAACCGAGUCGGACCACCACCGGUCGUUAGCCCUGGGCCGAAGAGGCCCGUAACAGAGCCCAAAACUGCAAGGGGUUUAAUUUGAGGACUCGUUUUUUUAUCUCAAUUUAUUUAUUGUAAUUUAAAAUAAAAUUUUAUUUAUUUUCAGGAAAAAAUUAGAUAUAUAAAAUAAAAACAAGCACAUUUUUCUGAAUAUUUUGAUUCAUAGAUGCUUAAGUAGUUUCGAGAUGUCUAGCUUCCUCUGGUCUCAGUGCGACUCCUUUGAUCUUUUCUUGACACGCAUAACAGAUUUAGACGCAAUUAGAAUCACCUCUAAACAUACUCCCAUAUGGAUCCUUCUAGAGCGAAUUGUUUGCUCACCAAUUAUAAGUCCUGGCGCUCAUGAACAAAAGUUGACCACAAAAUAAUGAAUCAAAGAGUUGCGCCAACCAUCAAGGGUGAAAACAACAUCCGAGGAUAAUUCACAUAUUGACAUGUCAACUUUUAGAAUUUUCUAUUAGUUACAACAAAGGUAGACAAAUGCUACCCUGGAAACCUCUCUUUGGAUACUUUUUUCGUUAGUGCAUUCUCAAAUCUCUAUCAAGAUAUAUACAAGUCAUUAAAUUAAAUAGGAACAAGAUAAUACACUAUAAUGUAUCUAAAUAGGCACAAAUUAUUUUUUUAGAUGAAUGUGACUUUAUCAUUAUUUUGAUUUCUUUCAUAGAUUUAGAUGGGAUUCCGCCAACUAAAAUGUCUCAAAUUAUUCAUAGAAAGGUAACAAAAUUUCCAUGACAAAUAGAGCCAUGGUUCCACAUUUGAAUUUUUGAAUGACAAAAUUAAGUUUAAUAUUACAUGGCAUUGCAUUAUUAUGUCCAAUGAUAAAUAGUACUCCAUUUAAAAAUUUAUGCAAUGCUCGUAUCAUUGAAAAGUAAUUAUUUACAAUUUGGUGACGUGGUGAUAUGUAACAAGUAAGAAAACAUCUAUAAUGAGACAUUGGCUUUAUUUUUCUUCAUCAGUUAUUAUUUUAGGGAUGCCAACGCAAUGGAGAAAGGUAAAUGAAGAAUAGGGAUGGAAUGAUGUCAAAUAAUUUUUUGAUGUACUCAUAAAAGUCCGUCCGCUAUGUUUGAAUUCCAGCUACAAAUCGUCUAAGAUUUAUUGUGGGACAACAUGCAGAGAUAGAGGGCUACACCUUCUUCCCCAUUAAAAGCAUGACCUCAAUAAUGGCAAAAUGGAAAGGGCAAAAAAGAAAAAUGAUCUCAUCAUCAUCUUCCUAUCUUCUUUUGCUAAUUCGAUCUAGACUCUGUAAAUUCAUUUUAGAACAAAGGUCUCUUUGGAUUGAAGGGGUUUUGUAGGAAUUUUAGAGGAUUUAAAUCCUAGGGAAUUUUUCUUAUGGAACACUAUUGGACCAUAGGAUUGGUGUUAUCAAAUUCCUAUGAAAUCGAUUCCUACGCGCCCAUUCCAUAGAAAUUUCAACAUGAGCUCGGGGCCUCUUUGAUUCGUAGGUAUUUCAAAAUAUAGGACUAGGAGAAAUAUGAAUUGUAAUGGCACGCCCACUUGAAUCCUGUAAGAUUAUUAGUAAAUCACGGAAGUUUGGAAAAGAGUGUUUGAUGCAAAAAAAAAAAGGAAUAUAUAACGGGGUUUGAGUAGAUGAAAAUAUUCUUCCAUUGUAGAAUGCAAAGGAAUUGUUUGGAAUUUUUCGUGAUGGGCGAGUACUCGUCACUCUCGUGUUCAUCAUGAUUAGGAUGGCGUGCGAGUAAUCACCACGUGAUAAGGCCGGAGCGUAGCCUCGUAGGCCACGUACAUGAUGACGAACUGAUCCAUGAUAUGAUUAUUUGUUGUGAUCUGUGAUAUGAUCCAAAAAGUCUAUGAACGCGUCGAGCGAGUCAUGCGCUUCUAGAGAGUCCGGAGGCGUACGCGGCGACGCCGACUAGGCCAUGUGGCAUGCAUGCGAGCCUCUCAUUCUUCCCGGCUUUGUUUAUUGGCGGGAGGAUGGUCCCUCCAGCACAGUGAUGCCCAUACGUGCACGCAACACCUCCGCGUAGCGUCGGUGCAGGACCAUAUGAUAUGAACAUCAUCGCUAUAAAUAAACCGUUCAACCUGCAUACCAAUUCGCAGCAACUCGACGACAAUACAAUACAACACGAUACACCACCAGUUCAUCUUGUAGCACAUCGAUCGGAGUAAAGUGCGUGAAAAUCAAGGAUAAUGGACGCGACCAACAAGGCGACCGGGCACGGCGGCGCCACCGGCCCCGCGGGGAACCACGGCGGGGCUCCUGCCGGUGCUGGUGCCGGGGGCGUGCAGCAGCUCCAGGCGACGAGGGACGACCGCAAGACCGACGGUGGCCUGGGCCGUUCCGGCGGGCCCACGGGGAACCACGGCGGUGCUCCUGCCGUCGGCGCGGCCGCCGCCGGUGAGAAGAAGGGCGUCGUGGAAAAUAUCAAGGAGAAGCUUCCCGGCGCCGGCGGGCAGCAGUGAGAGCGUCGAGUCACUGAGCUACAUGUACCACACAGCCUCUGGCACUACGUGUAAAAAGCUCAGCCACGCUUUUACAAAUAAAUAACGAGCUGUGUAUGUAUGCAUGCAUGUACCGAUGUACUUGUCUUCCAUCGGAAUAAAAAUACUUGUGUUUUGUAAGAAUUUGAACGGGAAAUAUAUUUUCAUUGGCGUACAGGGUUGAUUUUCAUGUUUUUGCGUUUUCCCCCAAUGUUUCGGCUUCGACUAUGUGUCCUAUACAUAUAUGUUUACUCUCAAAAAAAAAAAGAGUCAUUCCCAGAGCUAGUAAAUAAAAUCCUACACAGAAACUGGGUUGACCUCCCAAUGAAUGCAUGAUUAGUUGCAGACUACUAUUUUCAUUACAUGACUUGAACUUAUAACAAAAACAAAAUAUAUUAAUGUUCACAGGUUUUUUUCUCCGUAG